UCAUCUUUCAAGAAGGUUGAGUGUCCAAGU
This 30-nucleotide non-coding RNA is filed under the name Mus musculus (house mouse). The record is from RNAcentral. Lineage: Eukaryota; Metazoa; Chordata; Mammalia; Rodentia; Muridae.